AUUGAACGCUGGCGGCAGGCCUAACACAUGCAAGUCGAACGGUAACAGGAAGCAGCUUGCUGCUUUGCUGACGAGUGGCGGACGGGUGAGUAAUGUCUGGGAAACUGCCCGAUGGAGGGGGAUAACUACUGGAAACGGUAGCUAAUACCGCAUAACUUCGCAAGACCAAAGAGGGGGACCUUAGGGCCUCUUGCCAUCGGAUGUGCCCAGAUGGGAUUAGCUAGUAGGUGGGGUAACGGCUCACCUAGGCGACGAUCCCUAGCUGGUCUGAGAGGAUGACCAGCCACACUGGAACUGAGACACGGUCCAGACUCCUACGGGAGGCAGCAGUGGGGAAUAUUGCACAAUGGGCGCAAGCCUGAUGCAGCCAUGCCGCGUGUAUGAAGAAGGCCUUCGGGUUGUAAAGUACUUUCAGCGGGGAGGAAGGGAGUAAAGUUAAUACCUUUGCUCAUUGACGUUACCCGAAGAAGAAGCACCGGCUAACUCCGUG
RNAcentral lists this ribosomal RNA (490 nucleotides) under uncultured bacterium. RNAcentral describes it as "partial 16S ribosomal RNA". It matches the Rfam family "Bacterial small subunit ribosomal RNA", at positions 30 to 507 of the family's 1533-position model. The record is from RNAcentral.